CGGCCAGAGACUGACAAAAUGGAGUACCAGCUGCUUCUUAAAUAGCAUCAAAGCUGAGCUACAUUGUUAACAGGAGGAAGAAUAUAAAUCAGAAAUUAUCUGCUUGUCUUAGUCAAGCUGCUUUUAAGUAAUCACAGAAUGAGGUUUAUAUCUGGGAAGAAAAAAAUGGAAAGAAAGGAGC
Molecule: long non-coding RNA, 181 nt
Organism: Meriones unguiculatus (Mongolian gerbil)
Lineage: Eukaryota; Metazoa; Chordata; Mammalia; Rodentia; Muridae
Exons: 3
Source: RefSeq, a predicted model, not a curated record